ACUCACGCGGGAAUCUUACCGGGUCCGGACACACUGAGGAUUGACAGGUUAUGGGGCGGGUUGAAUUUUCAAUCUCUUCGGGGAUUAAUUUUCUCCCACCUCAAAAAUAUGCUAGUCCUUUCAUGAUUAUGUGAUAGGUGGUGCAUGGCCGUUCUUAGUUCGUGGAGUGAUCUGUCUGCUUAAUUGCGUUUCACUAAAGGCGUCAUUAAUUUUUUGUGCCUGUGUUUGACCCCGCACUUCGGUGCGCGCGCGUCUUUCACACACAAUUACUUUGACGUCUGAAAGCAACGAACGUGACCGUAACCUCUUGUUGCCUUCUCUUCUCUUCGGAGAAUGCUGCUUUAUACCUUCACGGGUGAAUUGCAGUAUACGGAGGCUUAAUACUCAGUAACUAGAGGGACCGCUGUUACUUUCUUUAAACCAGAGGAAGGUUGCGGCAAUAACAGGUCUGUGAUGCCCUUAGAUGUUCCGGGCUGCACACGUGAUACAUUGAUUACUUCAGUGAGUAUCUACGUAUUACUGCGCAGCAGUAUACGCGUGUUGUUUAUUGCUUCGGCAAUUUACUUUGCGCUAUACGCCGCCUUAACCUACUUCGAAAGUAUGUGGGUAACCAAUUAGAAGUAGUGAUUUCCCUCUUUAUAAGCACACUUAUAUGGAGCAUCAUCACCCGGCAUGCCUUGUGCAUGUUUUGUGUGUGUUGUUUGUCUACAUGUGCUUUUGUCAAUUCAUAGUGGGGACAGACCAUUGUUAAUUGUUGGUCUCGGUCUUAACUAGGAAUGCCUUGUACGAGUUUUUGGUUCAACAAACCACUCGGAAUACGUCCCUGCCCUUUGUACACACCGCCCGUCGCUCUUACCGAUGGAUUAUAUUAUGAGUUGGCAGGACCGUCCAGGAAAUGCCUGCGAAUAAUGUGAUCUAAAGGAAAGAGA
RNAcentral lists this ribosomal RNA (929 nucleotides) under Elphidium sp. S5. RNAcentral describes it as "SSU rRNA". It matches the Rfam family "Eukaryotic small subunit ribosomal RNA", at positions 1198 to 1786 of the family's 1831-position model. The record is from RNAcentral. Lineage: Eukaryota; Foraminifera; Rotaliida; Elphidiidae.